Transfer RNA from Operophtera brumata (winter moth), 73 nucleotides. It matches the Rfam family "tRNA". Rfam says of the family: Transfer RNA (tRNA) molecules are approximately 80 nucleotides in length. Lineage: Eukaryota; Metazoa; Arthropoda; Insecta; Lepidoptera; Geometridae. The record is from Rfam.
CGUUCUAUGGCCGAAUUGGUAAAGGCAUCGCCGAUCACAGGCGAGGUAGCAGGUUCGAGUCCCGCUGUAACGG